RNAcentral lists this ribosomal RNA (459 nucleotides) under uncultured bacterium. RNAcentral's name for it is "partial 16S ribosomal RNA". It matches the Rfam family "Bacterial small subunit ribosomal RNA", at positions 338 to 795 of the family's 1533-position model. The record is from RNAcentral.
CCUACGGGUGACAGCAGUGAGGAAUAUUGGUCAAUGGGCGCGAGCCUGAACCAGCCAAGUCGCGUGAGGGAAGACGGUCCUAUGGAUUGUAAACCUCUUUUGUCGGGGAGCAAAAGACGCCACGCGUGGCGUUCCGAGAGUACCCGAAGAAAAAGCAUCGGCUAAAUCCGUGCCAGCAGCCGCGGUAAUACGGAGGAUGCGAGCGUUAUCCGGAUUUAUUGGGUUUAAAGGGUGCGCAGGCGGAAGAUCAAGUCAGCGGUAAAAUUGAGCGGCUCAACCUCUUCGAGCCGUUGAAACUGGUUUUCUUGAGUGAGCGAGACGUAUGCGGAAUGCGUGGUGUAGCGGUGCAAUGCAUAGCUAUCAUGCAGACCUCCGAUUGCGAAGGCAGCGUACCGGCGCCCAACUGACGCUGAAGCACGAAGGCGUGGGUAUCGAACAGGAUUAGAUACCCGUGUAGUC